AUGACCUCCCCUUUCCAAGACUGAUUUUCAUUAGCCUUUCUCUCUCUUCUUGCAAAUCCUCUCUAAGAUCGAUUGUUUUCUUCGUCAACAUCUUCGAUUCCUCUCAUUUCUUCACCUUUGCGAUUUCCCCUCUUUCAAUUCACCAUAUCAACACUGUGUAGAUCAAUGUUGAACAGAACAGACAGCAGCACCAACUGAACAGAAAAACAAAGCUGAACACUCCGGAGCAGUGCAAACAACCUAACCAUCCACCUCUGCAGGCCAAGCUUUGCAAGCAGAGGCAAUUGCGUGUCUUAAAGGCCUGAAAUGGGCUCUAACAGAAACAUAGCUUCACUUAGGGUUCUCUCGGACUCGUACCUGCUGGUGGAGAUGCUAAGGGAUGCAGGGCUAGUUGAUAUCAGGCUACGUUGGACGAUCUAGGAGAUUCACUCAAUUGGGCAAGGUUUAGGAUACUACAGCAUUACCAAAGUUGAAAGGGCUCCAGUGCAGCGGGCUCACUCUCUCACUACUACAACUUCUUCUCUCUUGUUUCUUUUUCUAAUCCUUUGUAGUUUCUUGUUCUUUAAGCUAAAAAAACUCCAUUUUGUUUAUAAUUUGUUUAAGAGUCUUUUAUUUA
Molecule: long non-coding RNA, 616 nt
Organism: Spinacia oleracea (spinach)
Lineage: Eukaryota; Viridiplantae; Streptophyta; Magnoliopsida; Caryophyllales; Amaranthaceae
Exons: 2
Source: RefSeq, a predicted model, not a curated record